Molecule: unclassified non-coding RNA, 1757 nt
Filed under: Ooceraea biroi (clonal raider ant)
Lineage: Eukaryota; Metazoa; Arthropoda; Insecta; Hymenoptera; Formicidae
Description: caspase-2, transcript variant X1
Source: RNAcentral
AUCACUCUGGAACACUUCGACUAUACAAAGCGCCGUCCCUGACUAAAACAGUACAGUCGACAGUCAGCCUCGCCGUCAUAAACAGUGGAAAUCGAAGUCACGUAAGAGUGGUCAGGCUCCAGGUAUCUCGUUGCUCGCGGGCGCGACUUCAUUACGUUCUUAGUGCUUUUUCAAAGGCGCGUAAUCGCUCACACUACGAUCACCUGCGGUGGAGUCAACCGCGUGAGGACCUUAAACUAAAUAAUUACCAACAUAACAAUAGAUAUUCUAAAGGCUCGUGGAAACGAAUAUUUUAUUUCGUUUUACUCAAAAUGCAUCGACGAGAUCGCAAACGAAUCGAUUAUUACUGCGAAAGCGUUGUACCCAAAAUUGAUAUAACAACAUUGUUCCCAAAGCUCCUAGAAAAUAAGGUUUACAACAGAGAUGAUGUAAACAUCUCAACAUGGACAAAAAGCCUUGGAGACCAAGAUACAGUCAAAGAUAUAUUUCUUACUAUAAAAACUCGAGGACCAAACGCCUGUAAAAAUUUGCUUCUUAGUUUAAGACAAUCCAAUCAUGGAAAUAUAGCUGAUAUAUUAGAAGGGAAAAGUAUUUCAAGCAACAAUAUUGUAAGUUUAAGCAACUCCAUUAACAACAUUACCAUCAGUCAACUAAAGGAACACAACAAUAAUGCGAGUUCUAGCAACGAGCGACAAGAGGAGUCUAUGGACAAUAUUGUUUGGGCCAACAAACCUCUAAAAAUCGAAGUAUCCAAAGCUACAAGGUUUCUAGAUAGUGAAUCUUGUACUAUUCUGCAGCGAUAUCCCAUGCGAAGUAAGCCUCGUGGAUUGGUUUUGGUAAUUUCGAAUAUAUAUUUCGAUUCAACGGAGAAACCUAGAUUGGCGGCAGAACACGACGAAGCUAAUUUGAAGGAGCUGUUUAAACAAAUGGGCUUUGAAGUCGUUACGCACCAAAACCUAACGGGUCAACAAAUAAAGGAGGUGGUAAGAACGUUCUCAAAGCGAAAGGACCUGGAGAAGGUUGACUCCUGCUUCGUGUUCAUUACGAGUCACGGUACGGAGGAUAAGAUGAACAAUUCAGAGAUCCAGGGAACGGAUUAUCAGAAAGACGCACCAGCGAAUUAUGAAAAGGUUUUGUGUUCGGAUAUCUACGAUUACUUCACGGUGGAAGCUUGUCCACAGCUCGCUGAAAAACCAAAGAUAUUCGUGUUUCAGAUUUGCAGAGGAGAGAAGGUGCAGAAAUCAGUAGCUCAAUCUAGAGUCAGCAUUGAUUCUUUGGCAAAUAAGGCGGAUGAAUAUGUUCGUGGCUUAACAACGAGAAAUUACUCGGAUAUGCUCAUUGUUCAGGCAACUCUGCCUGGACACGUUGCUUACCGAGACGAGAUAACUGGCAGUUGGUUCAUACAGAUUCUCUGCAAAGUAUUCAUGACCUACGCUUGCACGGAGCACAUUCAAGACUUAUUCAGCAUGAUCGACGCACACUUGAAGUACCUCAGAAUGCCAGAUAACAAGUGCCAAACAUCGACCGUAGAAUCAAGGGAAUUCAAUAAACAUUGUUAUCUGCAUCCUGGUCUUUAUGAAGAAGACUUGAUUGACUGACGAAGAAGGAAAAGCAGGAUUUCUUAUUCCAUGAGACAAUAGCAUACAGUAUUUUCGUAUUCCUAAUUAUAUCGACGCACACUUGAAGUACCUCAGAAUGUCAGAUAACAAGUGCCAAACAUCGACCGUAGAAUCAAGGGGAUUCAAUAAACAUUGUUA